GAGGGUAUAGCUCAGUGGUAGAGCGUGUGCUUAGCAUGCAUGAGGUCCUGGGUUCAAUCCCUAGUGCCUCCA
RNAcentral lists this transfer RNA (72 nucleotides) under Camelus bactrianus (Bactrian camel). It matches the Rfam family "tRNA". From Rfam's summary of the family: Transfer RNA (tRNA) molecules are approximately 80 nucleotides in length. Their secondary structure includes four short double-helical elements and three loops (D, anti-codon, and T loops). Lineage: Eukaryota; Metazoa; Chordata; Mammalia; Artiodactyla; Camelidae. RNAcentral also lists the same sequence under 2 other names. The record is from Rfam by way of RNAcentral.